RNAcentral lists this unclassified non-coding RNA (305 nucleotides) under plant metagenome. Its description in RNAcentral is "partial contains 5.8S ribosomal RNA, internal transcribed spacer 2, and large subunit ribosomal RNA". The stretch from base 1 to 105 matches the Rfam family "5.8S ribosomal RNA", at positions 50 to 154 of the family's 154-position model. The record is from RNAcentral.
GAAAUGCGAUAAGUAGUGUGAAUUGCAGAAUUCAGUGAAUCAUCGAAUCUUUGAACGCACAUUGCGCCCUUUGGUAUUCCUUAGGGCAUGCCUGUUCGAGCGUCAUCUAAACCUUCAAGCCCUGCUUGGUGUUGGGUGCCUGUCCCGCCUCCGCGCGCGGACUCACCUCAAAUCCAUUGGCGGCCCCCGCGUCGGCCACGAGCGCAGCAGAAACGCGAACUCGUGAGCCCGUCCGGGCGGCCCCCAGAAGCUACACCCACCCAGUUUGACCUCGGAUCAGGUAGGGAUACCCGCUGAACUUAAGC